Molecule: long non-coding RNA, 2271 nt
Filed under: Homo sapiens (human)
Lineage: Eukaryota; Metazoa; Chordata; Mammalia; Primates; Hominidae
Description: HSALNT0255873
Source: RNAcentral
ACAAGCAUACCUUCAUCCCCAUGUCAGUAAAUCCACCGGACCUUUCCAUUGUCCUUCUUCCAGGGAUUUCCAUAACACUUUCAGAUAAACUUUCCUCUUUUCCUCUAACACUUGCCAAUGUCUUUCUGCUGGAGUCUUACCAUCCAGACCAGGAGUCAAACAAUUUAAAGUAAAUAAGGCUAAAUGUAAUUUUAUUUGAGGUGGUAGCUGGUCUCCUAUACCCCCUUUCUGUUUUUUCAACAUGCAUUGUAAUGUUUGAUGUGCCCACUCUAUAAUGCCUUGUCCUCAGGGAUUGUAAGGUAUUCCUGUUUUGUGGGUGAUUGCCCAUAACUGUAAAAAGUUUUGAAAAACAUGGCUAAGUAUAAGCAGGUCCAUUGUCCGUUUUUAAUUGUUUAGGGAUCCCCAUAUGAGCAAAUGAUGACCGACAAUGUCACCGCACAUGAGCAGCUGUCUCGCCUGUUUGGCAUGUAGAAUGCAGCAUAUGAGAUUAAGUGUCUAUAGUUACAUGAACAUAGCUAAGCUUGCCAAAGGCUGCUAUAUGUGUAACAUCCAUCUGCCAAAUUUCAUUUGGAGCCAAGCCUUGUGGAUUGCAUCCUUCCACAGGUAUAACACCAGGGACAUGCUGACAAGUGGGACAGGCUUGCGCCAUAGUUCGAGCCUGGCUGUGAGGCAGGUGAAACAUACGAGUAAGGGCGAGGUGUUUUGAGGCAGUAUUGCCUGAGAAGUUUGAGCUUGUUGAAAUACAGAACAAACCAGUUUAUCUGCUCUAUCAUUACCUAGAGAUAGUGGUCCAGGGAGUUGUAUGUGAGAGCAAAUAUGAGAAAUAUGUAAAGGAGCAGCAUGAGAGCGAACAGCUUGUUGAAGUCUUAGAAACAAGCUAAGCAGUUCUGGCUCUAGUGUGCUUUUAAUUGUAGCAGUUUCUAUGCGACUGGCUACAUUUACGACAUAGGCUGAAUCACAGACAAUGUUAAUGGGAGUUGAAGCUGUGAGCUCUAAAACUAGAAUGACUGUAAUUAACUCUGAGCGUUGAGCUGAAAGUCCAGAGAUCCUUAUUGUCUGAGUAUGUUUAGGUCCCAACAUAGCUGCACGCCCUUUGGAAGAGCCAUCGGUAAAAUAGGCCUGACCACCUGGAAUAGGCUCGUGAUGAGUAAUCACAGGGAAGAUAAAAUAAUAGACAUUAUAAAAUUGUAAAACUUUGUCCGAUGGAGAGUGGUUGUCUAUUAUUUCCACAAAAUCUGCAAGAGCAAUUUGCUACACAGUCGAUAUUUCCCAUGCUGUGGCCUGUUGUUGGGAAUCCAAGGAAACAAUAAUUGCGUCUGGAUCAUACCCCAUAAGCACUUUUAAUUUAUGCCUACCUAUAGUCACAAGUUGUGUAAUUAAAGGAAGAUAGGCUUGCAAGGUUUUAACUGUUUGAUUAGGUAGAAAGAGCCAUUCUAUUACUGAUACAGACUUGUCUAAGCACUGGCCCAGGAGUCCUGUUGGAGAAUGAGGGGUAUGAAGAAUAAGCAAAGGCUUUUGCGGCUACAGCCAUGAGGCAUGUCUCUGCUGAAGCAUCUGUUCUACAAGUUGCAACUCAGCUUCUGCCUCUUUGGUCAAUUGCUGCGGGGAAAUCUAAUGAAGAAUCUCCUUGCAGGGUUUGAUAAAGAUGUUUGAGUCGAUAAGUUGCAAUACCUAGCAUUGCGCACAGCCAAUGAAUAUCCCCUAACAACUGUUGAAAAUCAUUUAAAAUCUGUAACCUGUCUUUAUGGAGAACUACUUUCUGAGGCCGAACACUUCUUUCAGUAACAAUAGUGCCUAAGUAAUGGUAUGGGGAAGUUGCUUGUACUUUCUCUGGACCAAUUUUGAGAUUCCAUUUAGUCAAAGCCUGCUUCCUUUCUCUGAAUAACUGAUGUAAGAUUUGAUCUGUAGGAGUGGCCAAAAGAAUGUCAUCCAUGAAAUGAAUGAUGUGAGCAGUAGGAAACAUAUUCAGAGUCUCCUUCAAUGUUUGUCCUACAAAAUGCUGACAGCGUAGGACUGUAAAGCAUGUCUUGGGGUAAAACUUUCCUUUGAUAAAGAGAAACAGGUUCUCUUGGAUGAAUAGAAGGCACAGAGAAGGCAGAUCCAGGCUUAUCCUUCUCGUGUAAGGGUAUAGUAAAGAAAGGUCUAUGCCGGGCGCAAUGGCUCACGCCUGUAAUCCCAGCACUUUGGGAGGCCGAGGUGGGUGGAUCAUGAGGUCAGGAGAUCAAGACCAUCCUGCCUAACAUGGUGAAACCCCGUCUUUACUAAAAAUAC